Molecule: long non-coding RNA, 251 nt
Filed under: Mytilus galloprovincialis (Mediterranean mussel)
Lineage: Eukaryota; Metazoa; Mollusca; Bivalvia; Mytilida; Mytilidae
Source: RNAcentral
GACCAUUUUACUCUGAAUAGGGGGGAUGGAAAUAUUCCAAACCCCUAUUGGAUAAAGAAAACAAUUCUGGUUCUAUAGAUGAUAAAAAAUAUUCUGAAUCAAGAGUUUCCCCAUACAUUAUAGUGUUAAAUGUUGAAGAAAAAUAAUUUGAUUACCAGGAUAAAAAAAAACAAAAAAAAAAAAAAAAAAAAAACCGUAAAACGUUUGCGCGGAAAUAAUUCUGACUCAGAUAAAUAAAAAAAUACCCCCCC